UGAUUAUCAUUACAAUGUGAUUUGGAGUGU
Molecule: non-coding RNA, 30 nt
Filed under: Mus musculus (house mouse)
Lineage: Eukaryota; Metazoa; Chordata; Mammalia; Rodentia; Muridae
Source: RNAcentral